RNAcentral lists this long non-coding RNA (1180 nucleotides) under Erythranthe guttata (spotted monkey flower). RNAcentral's name for it is "long non-coding RNA (EGUT_LNC001300)". Lineage: Eukaryota; Viridiplantae; Streptophyta; Magnoliopsida; Lamiales; Phrymaceae. The record is from RNAcentral.
UCGGGAGGAACUUCUUGAGGUGCUGGCACGGUAGGAAGGACUCCCCACUCGACGUGAUCGCCAUCAACGACACCGGCGGCGUCAAGCAAGCGGCCCACCUCCUUAAAUACGACUCCACCCUCGGCAUCUUCGACGCCGUCGUCAAACCCGUCGGCACCGACGCCAUCUCCGUCGACGGCAAGAUCAUCCAAGUCGUCUCCGACCGCAACCCCUCCAACCUCCCUUGGGGGUAAAAAAAAAAAUUAGAAGAGAGCUAUCUAUGCACAUUGCAUUAUAUAGUAACUUAAUUGUGUUUUACGAUAUUUUUUUUUUACGAUUUUGAAGGGAUAUGGGGAUUGAUCUUGUGAUCGAGGGUACCGGAGUGUUUGUGGAUAGAGACGGAGCCGGGAAGCAUAUUCAAGCCGGGGCGAAGAAGGUGCUCAUCACCGCUCCCGGCAAGGGCGACAUCCCCACGUACGUCGUCGGUGUCAACGCCGAUGCUUACACACACGCCGACGACAUCAUUAGCAACGCCUCCUGCACCACCAACUGUCUUGCCCCUUUCGUCAAAGUCCUCGACCAAAAAUUCGGUAUAAUUUGUUACUGAAAUGUUAAAUGUCGUUUUGAUUUUACUAGUAGUGUUUUGACUUUGAAUGUGUUCUGAUUUUGGCAAAAUUCAAAACACAUAAAUUGUAGUUCUUCGAGUUAGCUUUUCUAAUCCAACUUGAAUCAGCUAGACUGGAUAUCGGGUGAAACAAUUAUGCUUGAAUGAGUUACAUUGUGAAUUUUAGAUAAUUCAGAACAUUAAGUUGUUGACAGUGUUCAGUGAUUCAUGCAUGUGUUUCUCACACGACAUUCAGCCCUAGUGAUUCAAGUUGGAUUAAAAGGUUAAAAGUGAAAGAACUACGAAUUGCGUGUUUUGAGUCUUGCCGAAUUCAGACACGAAAAUGGUCAAAAUCAUCUUUGAAAUUGAAAUGGUAUAUUGAAACUCAAACGUCAUUUAUCAAAUCCCUAUUACUUAUUUUUCGAGUAGUAUAGUAUCGCGGGAUGAGACUAAUACAUUGAAUGUAUGUAUAUAUAUAGGGAUCAUUAAGGGAACCAUGACUACCACGCACUCGUACACCGGAGACCAGAGGCUCCUGGACGCCAGCCACCGCGACCUGAGGCGUGCUCGGGCGGCGGCACUCAACAUCGUGCCCAC